AGGCCAUGGUGUAGACAUCUCCUUUGAAUUGAAUCUUUCCCAAGUUUCAUAUAAUGACUCUCCUUUGUAUUGAUUAAAACUUGUAAUACCCAUACGAAGUUU
This is a small nucleolar RNA of Coffea eugenioides, 102 nucleotides long. Lineage: Eukaryota; Viridiplantae; Streptophyta; Magnoliopsida; Gentianales; Rubiaceae. The record is from RefSeq and is a predicted model, not a curated record.